ACAAAGAAUCAGUGAGGUAGAUGUAUUAGUAUUUAGUGACUUAUUAAUCGUUUUGUAUUUCAAACCAUUUACUUUUUCUUAAAUAAGCUUCCUUGCUGUGGGAGCACAUUCCUUUCCUUCAGCCAAUAGCAUUUAAGAUACCAGCCCACUUGGGCGUGGUUUCUUAUACUGGAAAUGUAGCUGUAAAGCAUGUGCUCUCUGUCUAGCUUCCCACUCUUGCUUCUGGAGGCUGCUAGACUCUGUUCCUUUUCAAGCAGUGGACUCUUAUCUAGGACAGUGAUCUAGUGGCUGUACAAGUAUGCAUUCCCACCAGCAAUGGAUGAGUGUUCACCUUACUCCACAUCCUCGCCAGAAUAAGUUCCCUUCUGUGUCCUCACUGGUGCGGGUGACAUGCUAGCAACCAGAAAAGCAAGGCAUCCAGAGUGAGGGGUUGCAUGGAAGAUUCGCCCUGACUGGUCAGCAAGGCUCAUCUCUUGCUACUGUUAUUAUUAUACUUGAGCUCGUCCUGAUGGACACCCAUCAGCACGACAAGAAGCUUCCUCUUCAACUCUGAACCCACCUUAGUGAGCAGCUGUAUCCAGGUUCCUACAGCCUCAACUCCAACACUUCAAGGAACGGAUCAUAAACAGCCUAGGUCAGUUAGUAGUCUCAUCGGUGUCCUCAAUAAGGAGCAUUUCCUGUCACACAACCCAAAGAAAAUAAGAAGCCUCCCCCCCCGUAUUAGUUUUUCCUCAUCUCUACCCAACCUAUUUCAGAAGAGCUCUGCCGUGGCCCCUUGGGACCUUGCCCAUCACCUCCAGGCAGAGCUGGAGUCACAGCCAAUCUGAGUCAUGGCCACAGUGAGAUCCCAGAACAGGAGAGGAUGAGGACAGGCAGGGAAGCCAAUGAGGCCACUGUUCUGAUCGAGGCCACUAUCCCUUGCCUCUCCCUCACCUGGAUGCUGUCCGAGACAAUUCCUUUUGAUUUGGGGCUCCUCAUCCCCACAGAGCAGAGAUGCAGAGUGUAACCCACCCCCGACUCCUCAUCACUCCCACCCCAGUGCUACCACAACACCACUCUGACCCCAGCUCCAGUCCAGACCAGAGUCCUCAGGGUCACUUGCUCCACCAUCUUCAUCACCAUCACCAGGGUUCUUUUAUUCUAGCAUCAUCUUUGGUGUUGGCGGGGUAUGGUAGGGGGAGGCUCAUGUAGCCCUGGACCUUUGAUUCCUUCUUCCUUUCGAUAGGCAAUAAACUAA
Molecule: long non-coding RNA, 1237 nt
Organism: Alexandromys fortis (reed vole)
Lineage: Eukaryota; Metazoa; Chordata; Mammalia; Rodentia; Cricetidae
Exons: 3
Source: RefSeq, a predicted model, not a curated record